Molecule: non-coding RNA, 48 nt
Filed under: Trichobilharzia regenti
Lineage: Eukaryota; Metazoa; Platyhelminthes; Trematoda; Strigeidida; Schistosomatidae
Source: RNAcentral
AUCCAGAUGACGAGUCCCAAAUAGGACGAAGCGCGGGUUGUCUUGGAU